AACCAUCACCGAACGUGCACCACUGUACCGACGUCGGAUCGAAGUACCCACCUGUAAAAAUGUCGCGCAUGUCUCCUGACUCCAAAAGAACGUCAACCGGACCUAAAAAGGGUCCACCGGGUUAGUAUCUAACCCACAACUAAGAACCACAGUAAAACCAUAACCCCACAAACAAACCCACGAAGAUCGGUUUUCCAAAAACCAAAUACCGUAACUCGCCGGAAAUCCCAAAAACCACACCGGGACGCCGCCGGGACCCACUAACUGUCCCGAAACGCACCGACUCAUGCCACGAGUCACCCGCUGCCACAAAACACUCCAAUUUAGAUGUGACAUGGCAGCAAACACAAGCAAACACAACCAAACAACUAUCACCGGAUAAUUGUACGAAUCCGGGUUCCCGAAAAUGUCUAUUUCGACACCGAAACCCACCGUCGCCCACCCGUCAUUUCUGAACUCUCGAAAUGAAGCGAGUGACCAGCCAACAAGGCUCAGCGACUACACAAUAGCUCACGAAGCACCGUCGGAAUAAUUCUAAACCAAAACCGCGUUCCGUCGGCGGAUUUUGCCGACAAACGCACCGAAAAUACAUUUUCGAUCUUCGCAAAGGUCCGGGGCCUUGGACAAUCAGUCCAGAGAUCACCCACAGCCUGCCCAUGCUGCCAACAGCAGCCGUAGCAACCAGAAUUGCAUAAAAGCCCUUUCGAAUACCCGAAAUCGCAUUAUUUCAUGCGAUUUCGGCGCUUUUAUGGUCCGUCUACACAAACUAGGAGUCAAUCAGCGAAACCGAGACACCUACUGACAGAUCUCGGCGUGCCGGAGGCCGUGCUCACCUUUUGGAGCAAUUCCGGCCACUGUGGGGAACGCACGAGCGACGCGAAAUUCAGUAAACUGCGCGCACAACAUGAAAAUCAUGCUUAUCUCGCUAACCAGGGGCUCGCUGACCCUAAAUGAGGUGAGCACUGCUAUCAGCACUGAUAGACGAUCACCGUGCUCACCUCCGGAGGCAUCGGAACAGCCUCGGGUCGCCGGAACAGUGACUAGAACAGAAAAACAUGUGCAGAAAGGCUGAAAACCAGCUUACAGAGCUAGGCAGGGCUCGGGGUGGCCGGCGGCGGCCGGACAGCGGGCAGGCCGGCCAGGGGAAGGAAGCACCAGGUCAGAGAUGGAAGCAGCAGGUCGGGGAGGUCCGGGGAAGGUGCUGGCCGUCGGCGGGAGGUGGCCGGUGGCGCGGCAGCGCAGCUCAAAGCCGCCGAGUUCCUCUCGGGUUCGAGUUUCCCGGCGGCGCGGCGGCGGCCGGAGGGGGUCGGGGCUGCAAGGAUCCGGUGCCGGAGACCGAGGGGAAGGUGGUGUACCCCUCGGUGGGCUGUGGCGGUGCUUGGGAGCCGAGCGGGCCCGACCUCGGCCCGCCCGGGUCUGGGCGGCUACAAGAGCCUCGGGCGGCGGCCGGCGGUGGUCGAGGGUGGCCGGGGACGCGCGCCGGAGGUAGUCGGAGGGUGAGGAAAGACGGCGCGACCGAUCUGGAGUGGCGGCGGCGCGUGGCCCUCGAGCCCACCCGAGCUCGGUCUGGGCUGACCGAGGUGGCCGCAGGGAGCAGAGGCGGCGCCGGCGGCGCACGGGAGCGGCAGGGGCCGGCUGCGGUGGUCGCCGGACGGUCGGCGGAGACCUCCGCGGCCGUCGGGAAGCGACGGCAGGGCUAGGGGGCGGCGCGGCUCCAAGGUUGGCCCGGCUCGGACUGGGCUGACCCGGGCUGGCCGUAGCUUCCCCCAGGCGGCUCCGGCGGCGCGCGCGGGCGGCGACGGCCGGCGGGGAGGCUCGUCAGGGGACAGGGGCAACACCAGCGAUGGCCUGGAGGCAAGGCAGCCUCGGCCUGGCUCCAACCCGAGAGAGGGAGAGAGAGAGAGAGAGAGAGAGAGAAAGAAAAAGGUUCCGGCGGCGGCUGGCCGGCCGGGGCUCAGUCGGCGGCGGCCUGGGCGUGCGCAACAGGGCAGGGAAGAGGGAUGAAUGUGGCAGGGGGGCUAGGGUUAGGGUUUCUAGUAGCAAACCCUAAAACACCUUUGUAUACCUAGCUCCAAAAUGCGGAAAAGCCCCUCGAACUUCAGUAUUUGGUACUAAGUCCCAUACAGCGCGUGUAAAACGCGAGAAUACCCCUCCACGUGCGAUCCCUCGUAAAACGGUACAUAAAAUAUUGCGACUUUUGCGAAAAUACCGUUUUUGCCACUACCGACCUCUCCUCGAACAACGCGCGAUUUCCGCAGAUCCGUCCGUCAGAUUUGCGAACGGAUUGCACCAGUGCGAUCAGCACGACGGAGACAACAAAGCUACGAUUUUGGUUCACCUCGAUCGACCACGGAUUCGCGACGAAAUCCAACCUUCUUCCAAUAGGAGGAAUAACACACAAAUACAUAUAAAACAUGUAUUUUUGGAUUUUCUCGAAAUCCGUGCGUCGAACUCAAAAUCCGUCAGUGCCACUAGUUCCAGAACAGCUGAACCGGUCGAAACGAGCUAUUGGACUGAUAUGAACGGAGUCUGAUACGCACCAGAAGCCAACUCUACUCCGUGGCUUCUCCGGAAAACCGGAGUUACUAUUCACUUAAGUGAAAACUAAUAAUCGCGUAACUUCUCCGUUUUAGCUCAUUUUCUCCUGAAACUUGACGAGUGCUUAUGUAAUUAAAUUACACACAUAAACAUCGUCAACAGAGAGUUUAGUUGCACUGUCAAAAAAUCUCAGUCCUUACAUCAUCCCCCCCUUAAAAGAAGUUUCGUCCUCGAAACUUGACCACGUACCCACCGUAAUCGAACUCUGACAUUGCCCCACCGACACGGUAACACCUUUGGAUACUGGUCAAUCACAAAUCUAGAAUUGGACAGAUCAACCUUAGAAAAGGGGAGAAUAGGACUGCGGUUCCACAAGAACAAGACGAGGGGAACGUACCAAACCAAAGUCUGCGGACCAUAACACACCGGGAUCAACACCAUCCUGUAACCUUGGUCCGAAAAGCCUCAACCGACUCGACCACGUCACUAAGUUCACGAGAAAGAAUCACGAGCCAACACCACCAAACCGGAGUCAAAAAAAUUUCGACUAGCCAACAAUAUCAACUUGCUCACCACGAGCGAAGACGAAACGUUCUCCUAAAACUCGAGUCGGUAGAAACAGAAUCUGAGACUACAGUCUCCCACUAACCGAUCACGCAACUGCCGAAGUCAAGUCCACAUCCACGGAAAGCCGCCUUUGACAUUCGACAGUCUUAGGUCCCACAACCUCACCUUUCACCUGACCGAAAAGGUCGAAGGCUGACAAAACUAAUUGAGCUUGACAAACCGCUUGCUCAAUUAGAACUGGUUCGACUAAACCAAUAAACUCGCCAUGCAAGUCCAAAACUUGGUGCACAGGAUUGCAAAUCGCACUAUACGAUACAAACCAUCGGUGAUGCUCAACACCUGUCUCUACGAGACCCUGUCGCUGCCGUCCUACAAGGGACCCUAGCGAUCGGUGUUUCGAGCAACACCAGAUAACUGUCUCAUUGAGAUCCUGGCGCACCUGUCACCAAUUAACCGGACAAGCAUACAAUUCUAAAGUCGCACAGUAGGCUGAAAUACAAUCCUUACACCAUAUCACCUACUGUGACAAUCAAAGCCAACAACUAGGCUCAAGUCACUCAACCAACAAUUUUGAACCUCAAGACAACAGACCGAAACUACUAACCAACAAACCUUUUUGCGGUGAUGAUAAAUCAACUGCGCAAACCUGCCAAGAGAAUACAAGGCCCCACUAUGUGGUCAAAGAUGACCGAUACCCAAUCAUCCUUACAAGACUAUUUCUCUAGCUUUCACACAAAACAGUCUAGAGAACACAUCGACCCAAUCCAUAAGUCCCAAAUGGGAAGAUGGUAUUUCGUUCCUCUUUCGACAGUAUAUUGUCUGCAGCCAAUAUACUUAUCAAAAGAAAAGCGAAAUAUCCGAAGAUCCACUACCAACAACCAGUUGGAAGUACAACGCGAUAAAGUAUCAAGCCACUUGAUACCUCUCUACUGAACCAGAAGUUCACAACCAAUACUAUCGAAACAUCAACUUUACAAGUCGACAUUCAAAAUUAGAACGACCCUGGAACAUCUUAAAUCUAGACCAACUACAACCAACCCACAACACACCAAUUUGGGUGUUAGAAUAACCGCAUACGAUGUAUGCCUUAACGAAAACAUGACACCAAAACUGUGUCAAUCCGAUUCUAGUAGGAAGAAAGAACGAGUUCAAGGUCAAAAGAUCCGAACCGCUGAUUCGAAUCAACAAUCAAGGAGGAUAGGUAGGCAUCACAACCCUACCCAAAAAAUCUGCGGAAGCAACACUAACAAUGCAGUCGCCUAAACGACCGCUACCAAACCCUGGGCUACACCCUAGUAGCCCCACUGAAGUCGCGACCGUAACUGGUCUAAGCACCGUCUCCGUGGAGACACUCGCAACAGCUCUCGUGUCCUAAGUAAAGAGAGUGGCCUGGGCGUCGGCAGUCAUGACACUCGCCUAGGCCCAGAGAUCACUGGCCUUUCAAGGCCCCACCUGAUAGGAAUGGCUACACCUGGGGGACGUCGCCCCACCACUCGAUGUCCGAAAAAGUACCCCGCCACUACACCCGACUUAGACACCAGCUUGUGCGAACCGUAACACGUACAUAAACACCAUGCACUUCGAGUUUACCAAACUCGAAUGCAACCCAGGACGCAAGUCCAAACCCCGCACUCACGUGCCUAUAUACCGUGGUCUUCCUAUUGGUCAACCUAACCAAUGGUUCAGUUUCAUUUACUUUUCAAAACAACCUGUGAAUGGUGUUGUGGUUGUAACCCUUUGCUCUGAUACCAUUUUAAUCUGUCACGCCCCGGGGUCCCCUUUUUGUUUGAAAUACAGCGGAAAAGCGUUUGAAAAUUUUUUUUGAAAACCUGACCCCAGAGUAUGCCAGAUCCGCCACAAAUACAGGGAAUCCACUGUUCACACGGACAGAGUCUCCCCUGUACUUGCACGGCGUCACACAAGUACAGAAGUACAAACAGUAUACAACCACAAUCAAAUGAAUAUACAGAUAGCUAUACAUUCAUACAUUCUCCAUUCACAUCACAGUGUUACAUUCGAGGUUUAAAGAGAAAUCUACAAAAACCUUUUGAAAGCUGUUUCCUACACAGAAACCUUUAUUCUUUUAAAAACGCUACCACGAGGGGUAGAAAAUCUUUUAUUUUACAAAAUCCAGAAAUCCACCUUUUCAAAUGUAAAUGAUUACUGAACCACAUAAACCAACUAAACUAUAUAUCAACAGAAAUACCGAGGAUAAUAACUAAAUCGAAAUAACCUGGGUCGGAAGCUCUAUCGACCGCUACACACGUACCUCACGUCUCGUCCCACUACUCAUCGCCCGCGAUACCUGAAAAAUGGUGGGGGAGGUGAGAACAUGUAAACAUGUCUCCCCUCCCAGUGGGUACCGCAAGCCGAAGAAGGCGAGGAGUACUCACCGGAUCAGGAAGAGAUGACCAACAGUAUGGGUAAGUAAAAUGCUGUAGCAACGAUAAUGAACGAAUGAGAUAUAUAUAUAUAUGAAAACAUAACUACCGCUACUGUAUGUACAACUGCAAGCAUACAAGGAUAUCAAUACUAUAGUAGCAAGACAACUGUAAAGAAAGAACUAGAAGUACAUAUGCAACAACCGCUACUAUAGCUAUAUGCGUCAACCGGACGAGAAGUCCAAAAGUACCCAAUCUAAACCGCCGUGUCGGUCUAAGGACCUCAGGCAAAAGCCACUAUCUGCUCACACCUGGCAUGUAACCCUAGCACAAAGAGAACACCGCUGGGCUCACGGGUCGGAUGUACGACCACUUUUCCGGAAAAGAACACCCUCCUGCGGGGGAUCAACCCGCUGGUGUACGUGAAAUGCACUCGAGCUGUGGCGAUCAAUGCGGAUAUGAUCAAUAGCCAACCGUCGGCAAUCAGCCGACAAUCACUGCCCCUCUGGGCAUACCGACCGUGUAGGUCAUCAAGCUAUAAAGAAGCACAAGAACUGACCACUCAGGUCAACUAGGAUGGAACGACUCUACAUCCUCUCAAGUGUAUGCAAGUACUGACUAAUCAAGUCAACUGGGAUGGAACGACUCAACAUCCUACCAAAAGUGUGUCGAUACUGAUCAAUAAGUCAACUACUGUAUAUAUGCAAGGAUCAAUCAACAAGUCAUAUGAGUAUAUAAUCUAGAACUACCAUCGGCCAUAACCCGACAAUCCUACCCCUCAGGGUAUACCGACCUCAAAGGUCAUCAAGCAACAAGAAUCCAGAACGGACAGACUAGGUCACAAAAGGUCAAAUGACGGAUCUGUGAAGACUAUAGUCAUCCGUCGACAACUAGUCGACAAUCCCACCCCUCAGGGUAUACCGACCGUAUAGGUCAUCGAACAACAGGAAUCAAGGAACUGAUCAAGUAGGUCACCAUUACGGAAUACCAGAAUCGACCGACUAGGUCACUAACAUCACAGAUGGUCACGGAACCGCUCUACUAUAAACAUGAUAUAAGAUAUGUAGAACCAGCUAGUAGAGCAACAAGAGAACAUGAUAUCAAACACAGAUAGACUACACUCCUACACAUGAUACUAAGCAUGGAAACAUCUGAAUAUAGUAUAAUUAAACAACGUGGAAGCUAGGCUCAACAUAUAGUAUAAGCAUAGAGACAAUAGUAAGAGGGCAAGGGUAAGAAACCAUCACCGAACGUGCACCACUGUACCGACGUCGGAUCGAAGUACCCACCUGUACAACUGUCGCGCAUGUCUCCUGACUGCAAAGGAACGUCAUCCGGACCUAAGGAGGGUUCACUGGGUUAGUGUCUAACCCACAGCUAAGAAACCGUAAAAGCAUAACCCACAAACAAACCCACGGAGAUCGGUUUUCCCAAAACCAAAUACCGUAACUCGCCGGAAGUCCCAAAAAUCACACCGGGACUCCGCCGGGACCCACUAACUGUCCCGAAAGGCACCGACUCAUGUCACGAGUCAUUCGC
Molecule: long non-coding RNA, 7025 nt
Filed under: Ananas comosus (pineapple)
Lineage: Eukaryota; Viridiplantae; Streptophyta; Magnoliopsida; Poales; Bromeliaceae
Description: long non-coding RNA (ACOM_LNC003884)
Source: RNAcentral